UUAAUUAUUUAGCCAAUUACCAAUUUUUAAAAAGUCUAAUUAAAAUUAAUCUAUACAGAAAAUUUGAUUAAAUUAAUUAAGAUUCUAACCAUCCUAACUAAGUCAACAUCCUAAUUAAAUCAAGUUAGAAUUGCUUCCAUUUAUGAUUUCUUCUGAGAUUUUCUGCUUAUCAGGUUCCGUGAAAGGAGUGCAGAAUGAUGAAAGAUGGAGAAAGGUUGAAGAAAUGGUUGCAAUGUUGAAGAAAUAGUUGAAAGGUUGAAGAAAUGGUUGAAAGGUAUUGAAGGAAUCAUUGAAAAGUUGAAGAAAAUGGUUACAAGUUUUGGAAGUGAUUAGUCAUUGUUCUUGCGCAUGUUUAUUCCGUGUUUGCUGCAGAAUCGCAUUUUUUAUUGGCUCAGCAUUGCAUUGGUUCAGAAUUGUUUCGGAUCAACUCUGUUUUGAUUCGGUCGGUUGAACAUGUUUGCGUAUGGUGUGAUUGAUUUGGAAGGUGGAAACGUUAUCUUCAUGAAUGGAUUAUUUUGUUUUGUGUAGUUUAUAAUUAGUUUUGGAAAUUCUGUAACUUUGGAUGGGAAUGAAUCAUGAAUUGGAAACAUGGAUUAACUUGUAAGUAAAUGAAGAAUGGGUUUGUAUGGAAUGUCAAUAAAUUGUAUAUUAAACGGGAAUCGUAAUAAGCUUAUGGAAAUAUUAUGAAUACAAACUUAGAAAUUUGUGAA
This is a long non-coding RNA of Lathyrus oleraceus (garden pea), 710 nucleotides long. RefSeq lists it as uncharacterized. NCBI's taxonomy places the organism in Eukaryota, Viridiplantae, Streptophyta, Magnoliopsida, Fabales, Fabaceae. The record is from RefSeq and is a predicted model, not a curated record. The transcript has 3 exons.